This 1372-nucleotide ribosomal RNA is filed under the name uncultured bacterium. RNAcentral's name for it is "bacterial SSU rRNA". It matches the Rfam family "Bacterial small subunit ribosomal RNA", at positions 28 to 1381 of the family's 1533-position model. The record is from RNAcentral.
GAUGAACGCUGGCGGCGUGCCUAAUACAUGCAAGUCGAGCGAACGGACGAGAAGCUUGCUUCUCUGAUGUUAGCGGCGGACGGGUGAGUAACACGUGGAUAACCUACCUAUAAGACUGGGAUAACUUCGGGAAACCGGAGCUAAUACCGGAUAAUAUUUUGAACCGCAUGGUUCAAAAGUGAAAGACGGUCUUGCUGUCACUUAUAGAUGGAUCCGCGCUGCAUUAGCUAGUUGGUAAGGUAACGGCUUACCAAGGCAACGAUGCAUAGCCGACCUGAGAGGGUGAUCGGCCACACUGGAACUGAGACACGGUCCAGACUCCUACGGGAGGCAGCAGUAGGGAAUCUUCCGCAAUGGGCGAAAGCCUGACGGAGCAACGCCGCGUGAGUGAUGAAGGUCUUCGGAUCGUAAAACUCUGUUAUUAGGGAAGAACAUAUGUGUAAGUAACUGUGCACAUCUUGACGGUACCUAAUCAGAAAGCCACGGCUAACUACGUGCCAGCAGCCGCGGUAAUACGUAGGUGGCAAGCGUUAUCCGGAAUUAUUGGGCGUAAAGCGCGCGUAGGCGGUUUUUUAAGUCUGAUGUGAAAGCCCACGGCUCAACCGUGGAGGGUCAUUGGAAACUGGAAAACUUGAGUGCAGAAGAGGAAAGUGGAAUUCCAUGUGUAGCGGUGAAAUGCGCAGAGAUAUGGAGGAACACCAGUGGCGAAGGCGACUUUCUGGUCUGUAACUGAUGCUGAUGUGCGAAAGCGUGGGGAUCAAACAGGAUUAGAUACCCUGGUAGUCCACGCCGUAAACGAUGAGUGCUAAGUGUUAGGGGGUUUCCGCCCCUUAGUGCUGCAGCUAACGCAUUAAGCACUCCGCCUGGGGAGUACGACCGCAAGGUUGAAACUCAAAGGAAUUGACGGGGACCCGCACAAGCGGUGGAGCAUGUGGUUUAAUUCGAAGCAACGCGAAGAACCUUACCAAAUCUUGACAUCCUUUGACAACUCUAGAGAUAGAGCUUUCCCCUUCGGGGGACAAAGUGACAGGUGGUGCAUGGUUGUCGUCAGCUCGUGUCGUGAGAUGUUGGGUUAAGUCCCGCAACGAGCGCAACCCUUAAGCUUAGUUGCCAUCAUUAAGUUGGGCACUCUAAGUUGACUGCCGGUGACAAACCGGAGGAAGGUGGGGAUGACGUCAAAUCAUCAUGCCCCUUAUGAUUUGGGCUACACACGUGCUACAAUGGACAAUACAAAGGGCAGCGAAACCGCGAGGUCAAGCAAAUCCCAUAAAGUUGUUCUCAGUUCGGAUUGUAGUCUGCAACUCGACUACAUGAAGCUGGAAUCGCUAGUAAUCGUAGAUCAGCAUGCUACGGUGAAUACGUUCCCGGGUCU